UGGGGAAUAUUGCACAAUGGGCGAAAGCCUGAUGCAGCAACGCCGCGUGAGCGAUGAAGGCCUUUGGGUCGUAAAGCUCUGUCCUUGGGGAAGAAACAAAUGACGGUACCCUUGGAGGAAGCCCCGGCUAACUACGUG
RNAcentral lists this ribosomal RNA (138 nucleotides) under uncultured bacterium. RNAcentral's name for it is "partial 16S ribosomal RNA". It matches the Rfam family "Bacterial small subunit ribosomal RNA", at positions 355 to 507 of the family's 1533-position model. The record is from RNAcentral.